This 201-nucleotide long non-coding RNA is filed under the name Volvox carteri. RNAcentral's name for it is "long non-coding RNA (VCAR_LNC002462)". Lineage: Eukaryota; Viridiplantae; Chlorophyta; Chlorophyceae; Chlamydomonadales; Volvocaceae. The record is from RNAcentral.
UGAAUGUAUUCCAAAAGCCGUCCCGCCGCCAAUACCGCUGCGAACGGCAUGCCGUACGCUGCCAGUGAUGAUGUCAUGAGACUGGACGAGCGGUUCAGCGCGUCACGCCCUGCUUGGCCUUCCAGUACGGCAGCAGGUAGCGCCAGCUGAAUCCUCAUGAGUCGCGGUAGGGCCCACACCGCCGGAAGCACUAGCAGGCAC